This is a long non-coding RNA of Anolis carolinensis (green anole), 1580 nucleotides long. The record is from Ensembl. Lineage: Eukaryota; Metazoa; Chordata; Lepidosauria; Squamata; Anolidae.
CAGAAGGAGAACCCUUAGCAGUAGCCACCACGUCCCAGCAAGAGGAGCAAGCAGAAGCCAGCACUCCAGGGCAAGCUGAUGUAGGGUUAACUGCUCCUUCUCAUGUGCAAUUUCGCAGAGAGUAAGCUCAAAUAUGCAGGCCCACCAGGUUAGCUGAGAAACAGGCUAUCCACAAGCAACACCUGUGCCUUAGUAUAAAAGACUCUUGAGUUUGUAGUCUUGUUGCUGUCUUGCUUGAUGGUGUUAUCAUGAACUCAUUGUGUAACUGGCUCUAUGAACCCUGGACAGGACUUGGACUUAAAUGCUUUGGCUUCUGUCUUACAAUUAAUUAUACUGUUACUUACUGGCUUGUAUGACAUCAGAAUGUAGACAGUGACUAUUGGCACUUGGAUUGUGGAUUUAGGCUUUGAUUCAAAAACUCUCUGUGUAUGACCUCUGGACUUGGAUAUUGACUCUGUGUGUUAGAGUGUGAUUGAGGCACAUCAUAAUACAUAUGAAGCUUUAGUGAAUCUGCUCCCUGAAUCCAUUUAAGGUCAUUUAAAAAGGAACAACUUGGGAAACUGCAAAUCACUUCUGGUGUGAGAGAAUUGGCUGUCUGCAAGGACGUUGCCUAGGGCAUGCCCAGAUAUUUGGAUGUUUUACCAUCCUUGUGGGCAGAUUCUCUCAAGUCCCCGCAUGGGGCUGGACUGAUAGAGGGAGCUCAUCUGUGGGUUGGAUUCGAACCAGUAACAUUGAGAUCAGCAACCCAACCUUCAAGUCAUCAGUCCUGCCAGCACAAGGGUUUAAUCCACUGCGCCACCAGGGGUUCCAUUUCAGGAGUGAACUGAUGACCUCUUUUCAGGGGAAGGGACAUGUUUUUAUGGUCAGUAGCAGAGACUUCUUCUCCCCCCCCCCCCUUCUUCAUUCUCGCUCACAUUGCAAUAUGUUUUGCCACUAUGGGAGAAUUACUGCGGCAGGCCUGAUGGCAUGAGAAGGAUACAGACAAUUAGUGACAAUAGGGCCAGAGUAUCCCAUACUGUCUGCAGGGAAGGAAUGAACCGCUCUUCUUGGCACACUGUGGGGAGGCAGAUGGUUGCUCACUUUUAGCUUGGGUACUCAUGAUUUCCCUUCAACAAUGCUCCCAAAGGAUGCCACACUGGGAAUUCAGCACUACUUAAUAUCAAGGCAUCAUGGAAGAAUAAUUAGAAUGACCAGCUUGUAACAGAAAAGAACAUGUUUUUAAAGUUAACAAAGCAUUUGCUGCUGGCACUUCAAAUGUCAAGAGAGAAUGCUUCUGGAACAUGGCCACACAGCCCGGAAAACUCACAGCAACCCAAAUGCAAAUGUCUUAUUCUUAAUUGGAGAGCUUAUUUCGCCCACUCAAAUAUAUGUUUUAGCUAUGUUUAUUGUUUCUCUGAUAACAUUAGAAAGUGUAGUUUGAUCUAGGGCAAAGCUACAUUAAAGCAUUUGGCUACCCUCAAAAUGAGUCAACAUGUGUGAUUUUUAUGCUUCUGGGAUGGAAGCCAAUUGGUAAACCAUAUUCAACUCAGUUUGCCAUAUACUGUAUAACACUAGGAUAUAUAUAUAAUCUAAAUGGAAAC